CAUUUUUCCCCUCAUGCUGUUUGCUCUUUGCAGCUUGCUUUAGUGUUCAUGUUCGAGGAUCCGAAUACGUUUCUUUGCUUGGUGCAAAUGAGGUUGAUUACUCUUUCAUGGGAUUACCAGACUUGGAUUCCUGAGAACUCGCAGCUGCUGUGGCAUAUAUUGAAGACAUUUUUUUUUCAGUGGGUUUAUUGGAUUGCUUAUUUUUCUUUUAUGGACAAGUUAUGAUUUGUGGGUUCCAUCUUCUUGUUCGCUUCUUCUUUGUUAUGUUGCCUAUAAUUAAGUAUGUUUAUGAAGUUUUGAGGAUAUUAAUGGAUUGGAUUACUUUUUUGGGCUA
This is a long non-coding RNA of Phalaenopsis equestris, 334 nucleotides long. RefSeq lists it as uncharacterized. The record is from RefSeq and is a predicted model, not a curated record. The transcript is spliced from 2 exons. NCBI's taxonomy places the organism in Eukaryota, Viridiplantae, Streptophyta, Magnoliopsida, Asparagales, Orchidaceae.